Molecule: ribosomal RNA, 497 nt
Filed under: uncultured bacterium
Lineage: Bacteria
Description: partial 16S ribosomal RNA
Rfam family: Bacterial small subunit ribosomal RNA
Source: RNAcentral
GAUGAACGCUGGCGGCGUGCCUAAUACAUGCAAGUCGAGCGAACAGACGAGGAGCUUGCUCCUCUGACGUUAGCGGCGGACGGGUGAGUAACACGUGGAUAACCUACCUAUAAGACUGGGAUAACUUCGGGAAACCGGAGCUAAUACCGGAUAAUAUAUUGAACCGCAUGGUUCAAUAGUGAAAGACGGUUUUGCUGUCACUUAUAGAUGGAUCCGCGCCGCAUUAGCUAGUUGGUAAGGUAACGGCUUACCAAGGCAACGAUGCGUAGCCGACCUGAGAGAGUGAUCGGCCACACUGGAACUGAGACGAGGUCCAGACUCCUACGGGAGGAAGCAGUAGGGAAUCUUCCGCAAUGGGCGAAAGCCUGACGGAGCAACGCCGAGUGAGUGAUGAAGGUCUUCGGAUCGUAAAACUCUGUUAUUAGGGAAGAACAAAUGUGUAAGUAACUAUGCACGUCUUGACGGUACCUAAUCAGAAAGCCACGGCUAACUACGUG